This 1086-nucleotide long non-coding RNA is filed under the name Bemisia tabaci. Its description in RNAcentral is "lncRNA ENSSSA1NGG006989". Lineage: Eukaryota; Metazoa; Arthropoda; Insecta; Hemiptera; Aleyrodidae. The record is from RNAcentral.
GAAGUUUAUUCGAAAGGGUAACGUAACAGGUCGGAGGGAUUGUUUUAAGAUUAAGUUGUUGUGAAAAAAAACCAUAAAACGAGCUUAUUAUAAUUUCUAUUCUUGCGAAAGUGGUAUCAAAAGUUUUGGAAAAUGACAAGCUUUCAUAAUUUUACAGUAUCACGGAUAAAUUCUUUAGUUUUCGGGAUUUUGGCUAGUUUUAUUAUUCUAACAUCAUUUCUAACAUCAAUCACGCGUUUUGUAGGUUAUGUUUGUUUGUUGGGGCACAUUUCGACUUUCGAGAUAUCGAACCACCAAUAUCGCUCCGUGACGUCACCACUAAAAUCGUCUAUAACUGGAAUGCCUCACAACCUCCCGUGACGCAGCGGGGGGCUCCGCGACCCGACGCGACGCGGACCGCGCCAUGGCGUCGGCGCACUUCCUUCCCCUCCGAGACCGGCCAAGAGGGGAACCCCAUCGCAGGUAGUCGCACACAAAGCCUCUCGACAUUGCUCCCCGUCGUGCAACGCCCAACGACGAGGGUCCAACACUCAACAGAUCAGUUCAGUUUCCCGCGUCCCUUGUAACGAUCCGCUUGUGCCUGGCCCUGCGUCCUGAACUCCUGAGCUUUAAGAGAGUGCACCCGGUGUUUCCACCAUGAGCGAGAGUAGUAUCGACCCCGAAGAGAUCAUAGCUUUGGUGAAGGAGCGACCCCCUCUGUACGAUACGAAUCUGAAGGAGUACUAUUGUCAAGACAUCAUUAACCAGUUGUGGUCCGAAGUAGCGAUGGCUUUGAAUUGUCCCGUAAAAACGGACUCGAAAACCCCGAGGGAUGAAUGCGGGGUCGAAUUAACUCCUCGAGGAGUGCACUCUGCUCUUACAGAGCGGAUCUUACUUGUUAUUUACAUCCAUGGACGGCUCGAGACAUUUCGAACGAGGUGAGCAUAAGGGAGGUUUUCUCCAAAAUUUUAAAGAUCCAAGAUGCAGUUUGAGUUAAUUCCGCGAUGUAUCAUUACGUUAUAAUUUACUAUAUUAUGUGUAUUUAUGUAUGAAUAUUUGUCACUGGGGGGCAGCGCCGAAUGGCACCUCCGCGGCCGGAACCCUGGG